AACGAACGCUGGCGGCGUGCUUAACACAUGCAAGUCGAACGGUAAGGCCCCAGCUUGCUGGGGUACACGAGUGGCGAACGGGUGAGUAACACGUGGGUGACCUGCCCCGCACUUCGGGAUAAGCCUGGGAAACUGGGUCUAAUACCGGAUAGGACCGCACCGUGAGGAUGUGGUGGAAAGUUUUUCGGUGUGGGAUGGGCCCGCGGCCUAUCAGCUUGUUGGUGGGGUAAUGGCCUACCAAGGCGGCGACGGGUAGCCGGCCUGAGAGGGUGGACGGCCACAUUGGGACUGAGACACGGCCCAG
RNAcentral lists this ribosomal RNA (304 nucleotides) under uncultured bacterium. RNAcentral's name for it is "bacterial SSU rRNA". It matches the Rfam family "Bacterial small subunit ribosomal RNA", at positions 28 to 334 of the family's 1533-position model. The record is from RNAcentral.